Non-coding RNA from Chelonoidis abingdonii (Abingdon island giant tortoise), 1118 nucleotides. Lineage: Eukaryota; Metazoa; Chordata; Testudines; Testudinidae. The record is from RefSeq and is a predicted model, not a curated record.
GUGAAAGGGCAACCAGGCGGCCGGCUGGUAGCGACGAUGGCGGCGUCCUUGCGCCAAGUGGUCGCGGGCAGCUGGCGGCAGCCGCAGCGAUACCUGCUUGCGCUGCAGUGUGCAACACACCAUACAAGAUGGUGCCUUAUAACUUCACGUACAUUCUAUACGGCUGAAUAUGAUCCUAAUGAAAAGGUAACAUUUGAGAAACUCCUUAUCGCCAACAGAGGAGAGAUUGCAUCAGAGUAAUGAUAAAACAUGCAAGAAGAGGGCCAUUAAAACUGUGUGCUAUACAUAGCCGUGUUGAUCCAAGUGCUUGAAGUGAGGACUCCAGGUGUGAUCUGCUUUUCUAUCAAAGUGUCCUAAAACUCAAACAUUUUUCAUGUUCAUAACUCUGUGGAUUGGACAUUCAUAUUUACUGGCCAUUAAAACAUACUUUCCCUUGAGCAAAACUAAAACUGACAAAAUACACAUGCGGGAGUUGUUUCUAAAUUUACAAAUACUUUGCUUGUAUAAAAGCAAUUGCACUGCAUUCAAAUGUACUGUAGGAAAAAUCCUGCAAUGGUGUAGAGCGAUGGAAGGAGAAACUGGAUGGUUCAAAACUGUAGGUAACUUCUCUGAUAGUCUUGUGGCUUUUUUGAAAUUUUACUAAAUUUCAAAAUUAAUUUAGACAAUAAAAAAUGACUCAUUUGAAAGGCUAUACACAGUAUUUAAAAGAUGUUAACUUCUAAUCUAGAACCAGGUAACUCAGUCACGUAUAUUUGUCCUGAGUAGUUGACUCUUUUGAAGAAGAACUGUAAUUUGCUUCUAGUUUUGUUGAUGAUUACCAUGCAAUUAAAAGGGAUACUGUCAAACCUGUGUUCCUGACUUCUUAAUUCUACUUUGGGGAAAGUAAAUAACACAAAUGUGGGAAUAGAGUUGGUUAAUUGUUUGAAUUCAGACUAAUCUUCCCACUUUGGAAAUAUUAGCCAUUUGUUUCUCACUUUCUAAAAAAUGGAAGUUAACACAAAGUAUGCUGUUAAUUGUCCAUUUUCUAUAAAGUAUACAAAUAUAGAUGUCUAAUAGUAACCAGGCUGCAAGCAAACUGCAAAACAAAGACAGACGUAAAACAUACCUGCCUCAAAAUA